Molecule: ribosomal RNA, 234 nt
Filed under: uncultured bacterium
Lineage: Bacteria
Description: partial 16S ribosomal RNA
Rfam family: Bacterial small subunit ribosomal RNA
Source: RNAcentral
UGAGCAAUCUGCCCUUCUCAUCGGAAUAAGCGUUGGAAACGACGUCUAAUGCCGAAUACGACCUCCUUUCGCAUGAUCGGAGGUGGAAAGCUCCGGCGGAGAAGGAUGAGCUCGCGGCCUAUCAGCUUGUUGGUGGGGUAAUGGCCCACCAAGGCGACGACGGGUAGCCGGCCUGAGAGGGCGACCGGCCACACUGGGACUGAGACACGGCCCAGACUCCUACGGGAGGNAGCG